This 2627-nucleotide ribosomal RNA is filed under the name Zhuliangozyma blackwelliae. RNAcentral describes it as "Candida blackwelliae large subunit ribosomal RNA". The stretch from base 68 to 2387 matches the Rfam family "Bacterial large subunit ribosomal RNA". The record is from RNAcentral. Lineage: Eukaryota; Fungi; Ascomycota; Pichiomycetes; Serinales; Debaryomycetaceae.
AUAAAUAUAAAUAUAAAUAUAAAUAUAAAUAUAUACUUAUAUAAAAGGCGAGAUGAUUGAAAAUUUUGAUGAUGGAGAAAAUAUGAUUUCAUAGGGUUUUAACUAAUAUAAUAUAAAGACAAGGAUAUUAAAGGCAUAUGCCAUUCUUAACUAGAAAUAGUUUAAUAAAAAUUUAAUGAAUUGAGACAUCUAAGUAAUUAAAUUAAUAAAAUCAAUAGAGAAAUAUAGAGUAAUGGCGAAUGAAAUAUAUUAAGUUUAUAAGUAAUUGUAAAUACAAUGAAUAUAAUAGUUUAUCAACUAUUAAAACUAAUAAUAUUAUAUUAAGUAAAAGUACCGUAAGGGAAAGAAUAAAUAAUUAUAUAGAACCCACGCCGACUUUGUCGGCGUGGUGUAUAAUUUAUUUUACUAAAUGGAAUCAUAAAGAGCAAAUAUAGUAUAUUGUACCUCUUGUAUAAUGGGUCAGUGAGUUAUAAUUAUAAGCGUAAUUAUUAAAUUAAAUAUAAAUAGUUAAAUAAAUAUUUUAAGUUGAUAAAAAAUUAAAGUUUAUAGUUAUAGACCCGAAAGUAGACGAUCUAUACAUAUUCAUGUUUAAUAUUAAAGAGAGAACUCCUUGUGGACAAUGUCGGCAAGGGGAAGACAAGGAUAAUAUUAAGACAUAAGUAGUUGGUGUAGCAACACCAUUAUAAGAAAUAUGUAUCGUAGUGAAAGACAAAUCUGGUUUACAGAUAGCUGGUUUUCUAUGAAAUGUAUUUUAGUACAAUUUAUAUCUAUUUUAUAUUACUGGUAUAGCACUUAUUAUAUUUUAGGCGUUAUUAUUACUUACUAAAUAUAAUUAAUCUCAUAAUAAGUAUAAUAUAAAUAUAUUAUAUUCAAUAAAAAUAAAUACCCCUCGCCAUAGAGUGACUACGGUCCGCAAGGGGAUGAAUAAUAAUAAUAUUAAAGAUAUAAUUACAGUCUUAUUGCGAUAAGGUAGUAAGACGAGAAGAAAACAAUCAAGACUACAUACUGAAAACCCUUAAUUUAUAAUUAAGUGUUUAUGAUAUAUUAUUUAUUAAAGACUAAUAGACAGUUGGCUUAGCAAUAUCCACCUGAUAAUGAACAUGUAACAAUGCACUAUUUAGAUAAUUUAUAAUAUAAUUGAUUUACGGGACUAAAUUAUAAGUUGAAGUAUAGAUAUAUUAUAUAUAUUAAUUUAUAUAUAUAUAUAUAAUAUAUGGUAAUAGAACAUAUAGUAAUAACUAUAAUGAAUAUGCUGACUUGAGUAAUGAAAGAAAGUAAUGGACUUUCCUCCAUAAUCAUAAGGUUUUAAUAUAUUAAUUAACGGCUUCUAAGUUUAUAAUUGAAAAAUUAUAAAUAAUGAAAAAAUAAGAUAAAAUAAAUACGAACCGUACUGUAGACCGACACAGGUAUGAUAAAGGAGAACGAUAGAACUAUAGAGAAGGAACUCGGCAAAAGAAUAAAUUUCAUUAAGUGUGCAACUGUUUACCAAAAACACAGCUAAUUGCAGUUAUCAUAGAUAAUAGUAUAAUUAGUGAUAUCUGCCCAGUGUAAGUUAUAAUAAUAAAUAAUAAACUUAUAAACGGCGGUCUUAUCAUGAGGAUCCUAAGGUAGCGAAAUACCUUGUCACAUAAUUGGUGACGCGCAUGAAUGAAUAAAUGAUGCACUAACUGUCUCCUCUGUAAUAUCGAUGAAAUAGUAAUCGUAGUGAAGAUACUAUGUAAUGGUACAUUGACAAAAAGACCCUAGCAGCUUUACUAUAUUUUAAUAUUGAUAUAUUUUAUUUUAUAAGUUUCUUAAUUUUUAUAAAAUUAUAUCUAAUCUUUAAUUCCUUAUUUUAAGGUUUGAAACAUUAUUAAUUUGUUAGUUUCGAUGGGGCGUCGACAUCACAAAAUAUAACUGAUGUGUCUAAUUGUAAUUUAUACAAUAUUCAUAAUAUUUUUAUUAAUUCCCCUCGCCGCCUCUUACGAAGUAAGAGUCGGCGAGAGGUUAUUUUAAUAAAUUAUAAUGAUAUAAUAGUAAUUUAUAUACACAUUUACUUAUAAAGCAAAUAAGUUAUAUUGUAAAAUAGCAUAAGUGUAUAAUAAUAUUAAUAUAAACAUAUAUUAAUAAUACGUAAGUAUAGUAUAUUGAACAGACAUAAGCAUAUGAUAAGCAUGUCGAUAACGGAUUAAAGUUACGCUAGGGAUAACAGGGUAAUACCGCUAGAGAGUUGAUAUCGUCAGCGGUGUUUGCCACCUCGAUGUCGUCUAGACUCAUCCUCUCGACAGCAGCAGUUGGGAAGGGUAUGACUGUUCGUCAUUUAAAGAGUUACUUGAGAUGGGUUAAUUACGACGUGAGUCAGUAAUGGUUUUAUCAUGUAUCAUAUUAUAUAUAUUAUAUAUAAUCCAGUGUACGAAAGGAUUAGGAUUAAAUUAUCAAUGGUUUAUAUAGAUAAUAAUUAAAAUAUUUCUUUAUUUUAAUUACUUUCUUGUUCGCUAAAUAAUUAUUUUUAUAUACUGAACGCAUCUAAAGUAUUAAAUAUUAUAUAAUAUAUAUUAAACAUUAUAGAUAAUAAUGUAAUAGUUAUUAUAAUAACAAUUAUAAAAACUAAUUAAUAUAUCCAUCAUCAUAACAAUCAUAUCUCUUAA